UACGUAGGGCGCAAGCGUUGUCCGGAAUUAUUGGGCGUAAAGAGCUCGUAGGCGGCUUGUCACGUCGGGUGUGAAAGCCCGGGGCUUAACCCCGGGUCUGCAUUCGAUACGGGCUAGCUAGAGUGUGGUAGGGGAGAUCGGAAUUCCUGGUGUAGCGGUGAAAUGCGUAGAUAUCUGGAGGAACACCGGUGGCGAAGGCGGGUCUCUGGGCCGAUACUGACGCUGAGGAGCGAAAGCGUGGGGAGCGAACAGG
This 253-nucleotide ribosomal RNA is filed under the name uncultured bacterium. RNAcentral describes it as "partial 16S ribosomal RNA". It matches the Rfam family "Bacterial small subunit ribosomal RNA", at positions 524 to 776 of the family's 1533-position model. The record is from RNAcentral.